Raphanus sativus (radish) is the source of this 1927-nucleotide long non-coding RNA. RefSeq lists it as uncharacterized. The transcript is spliced from 4 exons. The record is from RefSeq and is a predicted model, not a curated record. Lineage: Eukaryota; Viridiplantae; Streptophyta; Magnoliopsida; Brassicales; Brassicaceae.
GGUUAACCUAAAUCUAUUAUUCCAUUCUCUUGUCUUCACCGCCGAAAGCUUCUUCAUCUCUUCAAUGGCGAUUUGUUCUUCCUCUUCACACUUACAUCGUCUCUAUUCUAUAUUUUUGCUUAGUUGUUCAUAUGCAUGUAAACUGUCUAGCAAUUCUGAACAGAAUUUUCCAUGUAUGCAUCUGCGAAAAACUCUAGAGCAAUAUCUUAUGCUCGUGUUUUGGUCCAAGUCUUGGUGAAAACGUAUCCGCGGAAAAUCUCCUCAAGACAGUGCAAGGGAUUUUCUUAGCUGUUCAUAUGCGGUACUUGACAAGCUGUAUGCGGAAUCUAUUGUCGCAGUAAAUCCCAUAAAGAUGUUAGAGACUCAGAGCUUUGAUGGUCUGUUUCCUUUCACAUUAUUUACUGUAGCAAACUAAACCAUAACAUCAAACGUAUCUGAUCAUAGGUGGUGAUUUGGAUGAUGGAGAAAGAGCACAAGAUAACCCAAACAUAUUUUAGUGAAUAACUAUAUUUAAAUUCUGGAUCAAAAAUAAUAAAAGUCUUUUUUGUUAUAUUGGUUAAAACCCUUGUAAAAUUAUCAUAGAUGGCGGGUUCAAAACCACAGAGUAUCCUUUUUUUACUGUUGUUCGAAUUUUAAUUAAUUCAAAGAUUGUUGGAGAGAAAAAAAACCGAGAGAGAAAAUAGUGCGAGAUUUAAGGAAGAUUUUGUAUAAGAAUUAGGAAACAUCUAUAACCGAAAAUGGAAGUUUUCAUAUUUUUUGAAUUUGACUAGAAUACACAAUAUACCUAACUCAUAACAUAGUACAACACGUGCAACGCCUAUUCUUCCUUAGGCGUCACAUAAGGUAAAAGGCAAAAGAGUUUAUAACACAACAUCUAAGUAAGGUACAUCAUAGAGUUCGUGCUAUAUGUCGUUAUAUAUCUGCUGGUACACUGAAGACAUAUUGCUAGACUGUGACGUAACUAAUUCUAACUCAGAUAUAAGGUAGAAGAAACCUUAGUUUAUGAUAUAUAUCUUAGAUAUAUCUAUGUAUUAAACUUAGUAUUCGUUUUCUGGAUUAAGCAGACUAAUGUAAUGUGUAUUCUAUUUUGGUUAGAAGAGAAAAUAAAAGAUGAUUCUCCAUUUUAAAAAUAAAUAAAUUUAAACAUAUAAAUUAUCAUACAUAUGUUUCCAAUCAUUUUCAUAUUUUUUAACAUUUAAAGUUAUGUUUACUAUUUUUUUCCAUGAACGAAGGACAAAACAUGUAAAAAAUUGCCAAAAAUAUGAAAAAUCUUAAAUGGACAAACAAAAGUUCAAAGGGUCUCUUUUUUCCAAUUCUCCCUUUUUAAUAUUGUUAACUCAAUCAGUAAAAUACUAAACCCUAAAUCCUAAAUUUUUGGGUAAAUUCUAAAUCUUUGAAUAAAUCAUAAACUUUAAAUCAUAAAUCUUAAAUCAUAAACAUUAAAAACUAAAUCUUAAUAACAUUAAACCCUAAAUCCUUAACUCUAAACUCUAAACCGUUGGAUAAAUCCUAAACUCUAGAAUUUAUGAUUUAUCAAAGGGUUCAGAGUCUACCCAAAGAUUUAGGGUUUAGUGUUUAUGAUUUAGGGUUUAAUAUUUUGUUGACGGCGUUAACAAUAUUAAAAAAAAAUUAAACUAUUACUAUUUUAUGUAUUUUUAUCUUAAUCAUAAAUACUAAAUCAUAAAUCGAAAACACUAAACCGUAAAUCCUAAACUUUUGGAUAAACCUUGAACCUUUGGAUAAAUCCUAAAAUCCAAGGUUUAGGAUUUAUCCAAGGGUUUACAGUUAAUAGUUAUUGAUUUAGAGUUUAGUGUUAUUAAGAUUUAAUUUUUAAUGUUUAUGAUUCAUUGUUUAGGAUUUAUCCAAAGAUUUAAGGUUUAUCCAAAUGUUUAUAGUUUAUCCAAAGGUUUAUGAUUUAUGAUUUAUU